CGAGAUGUGGCGUAACGGAAGCGCACCGGAUUUGGGAUCCGGAGGGUGGGGGUUCGAUUCCCUCCGUCUCGACGA
RNAcentral lists this transfer RNA (75 nucleotides) under Actinomycetes bacterium. RNAcentral's name for it is "Actinobacteria bacterium tRNA-Pro". It matches the Rfam family "tRNA". Rfam says of the family: Transfer RNA (tRNA) molecules are approximately 80 nucleotides in length. Their secondary structure includes four short double-helical elements and three loops (D, anti-codon, and T loops). Further hydrogen bonds mediate the characteristic L-shaped molecular structure. tRNAs have two regions of fundamental functional importance: the anti-codon, which is responsible for specific mRNA codon recognition, and the 3' end, to which the tRNAs corresponding amino acid is attached (by aminoacyl-tRNA synthetases). tRNAs cope with the degeneracy of the genetic code in two manners: having more than one tRNA (with a specific anti-codon) for a particular amino acid; and 'wobble' base-pairing, i.e. permitting non-standard base-pairing at the 3rd anti-codon position. The record is from RNAcentral. Lineage: Bacteria; Bacillati; Actinomycetota; Actinomycetes.